GAAAUGCGAUAAGUAAUGUGAAUUGCAGAAUUCAGUGAAUCAUCGAAUCUUUGAACGCACCUUGCACCCCUUGGCCAUUCCGAGGGGUAUGCCUGUUUGAGUAUCAUGAACACUUCAACUCUCAUGGUUUGCCAUGAUGGGCUUGGACUCUGGGGGUUUUGCUGGCCUCUGUGGUCAGCUCCUCUCAAAUGAAUCAGCUUGCCCAGUAUUUGGGGGCAUCGUGGGUGUGAUAACUAUCUACGCCUGUGGUCGUCUGCCAUGUAACCUUCUGUGAUGGAGGUUUGCUGGGGCUUACAAACGCCCUCUCCUCAGCGAGGAUGGCAUUUUGAAUGUUUGAUCUCAAAUCAGGUAGGACUACCCGCUGAACUUAA
RNAcentral lists this ribosomal RNA (371 nucleotides) under Thelephora aff. palmata 350-421. Its description in RNAcentral is "eukaryotic LSU rRNA". The stretch from base 1 to 106 matches the Rfam family "5.8S ribosomal RNA", at positions 50 to 154 of the family's 154-position model. The record is from RNAcentral. Lineage: Eukaryota; Fungi; Basidiomycota; Agaricomycetes; Thelephorales; Thelephoraceae.